AGAUGGCUUAGUGCCUUCGGGAACCGUGAGACAGGUGCUGCAUGGCUGUUGUCAGCUCGUGUUGUGAAAUGUUGGGUUAAGUCCCGCAACGAGCGCAACCCUUAUCCUUUGUUGCCAGCACGUAAUGGUGGGAACUCAAAGGAGACUGCCGGUGAUAAACCGGAGGAAGGUGGGGAUGACGUCAAGUCAUCAUGGCCCUUACGAGUAGGGCUACACACGUGCUACAAUGGCAUAUACAAAGAGAAGCGAACUCGCGAGAGCAAGCGGACCUCAUAAAGUAUGUCGUAGUCCGGAUUGGAGUCUGCAACUCGACUCCAUGAAGUCGGAAUCGCUAGUAAUCGUAGAUCAGAAUGCUACGGUGAAUACGUUCCCGGGCCUUGUACACACCGCCCGUCACACCAUGGGAGUGGGUUGCAAAAGAAGUAGGUAGCUUAACCUUCGGGAGGGCGCUUACCACUUUGUGAUUCAUGACUGGGGUGAAGUCGUAACAAGGUAACCGU
Molecule: ribosomal RNA, 500 nt
Filed under: uncultured Gammaproteobacteria bacterium
Lineage: Bacteria; Pseudomonadati; Pseudomonadota; Gammaproteobacteria
Description: bacterial SSU rRNA
Rfam family: Bacterial small subunit ribosomal RNA
Source: RNAcentral